Molecule: long non-coding RNA, 2681 nt
Organism: Zalophus californianus (California sea lion)
Lineage: Eukaryota; Metazoa; Chordata; Mammalia; Carnivora; Otariidae
Exons: 4
Source: RefSeq, a predicted model, not a curated record
CGGAGUGGAGGAAGCGGGCGGAAGCCGGUGGCUCUCGCGAGGAUUUAUUCAGCAACCCGCCAGCCUCAGAUGGGGGUGUUUUUUUAAAGGGCGAGGCGCGGGGGUCGUCUCUUUUCCGUCCCUCUUUGGUGAAUGGAAUGGGCGUCGGAAAAUCUACGACGCGCGGCUAGAUGAUCGGGCCGGGACACCCAAUUGAAUUGCGCCUGAGGAGUCUUAAAGAAACGCCUCAAGUUUCGUGGCUUCAUACCGGACAAAGUGCUCCGGCCGACUAGGUGAAGAUCAAUAAAGGAAUGUGUCUGAUCUGCCCUCAAGUUCCUGGAUGUACUUAAGCAUAAUGAAUUUGAAGAAUGAAGUUCCGUAGAUUUCAUUCUUAAAUACAUGAAGAAAUCUUAACAAAUCUUUUUUUUAGAAUCCGUUACAAGGAGCACUCACCAGCUGAUGUACAUCUUCCCGUAACAUGAAAGAAUAAUUAGCAAGGUGAGAUUGAGCCAUGCCCUUGGAUCAUUUGGGGAGAAGAUAAGAAGGAGACAUAGCUCUCAGCAGCCUUAGGACUGGAGAAUGGAAUCACUGUGGUAUCUGAAAACAGUGAAGGGCCUUUGCUUGAAGCAGUGCAUUUUCAAGGUCAGGUUUGUCUCUUAACUUCUAAUCUCAUGUACUUUCUAUAAGAAUUUGCUUUUACUUUACAGUUUCUUCUUGCUAUAAAAUCUCUAAUGUAAACGUUACACUUAAAAUUAAGCCACCAUAAUAGAGUACUUAUGAAAAGUAUCUUCAAAAUGAAGUAUGGAGCAGAGCAUCUUAUUCUCCCUGGUAAUUGAUACAUUGAUAGAACACCUAUGUUUUAUUUCUACCAGUAAUAUGUACCUGACUCUGAACUCAAGGAAAUCAUCAGAUGAAUCCAAAGGGCCAUUCUGUAAAUGAAAUGGCCUGUACUCUUCAAGAAAAGUCAGUGUUCUAUGCCUGAGUCACUCACUCAGGUCAUGAUCCCAGUGUCUUGGGAUUGAGUCCCACAUCAGGCUCCUUGCUCAGCAGGGAGCCUCUUUCUCCCUCUGCCUGCUGCUUCUGCUUGUGCUUGCUUUCUAGACAAGAUUUAAAAAAACAACUAUUACCUAAAAGGACACAAAUGCAACUUUUUUUUUUAAAGAUUUGAGAGGGGGUGUGCGUGCCCAAGAGUAGGGGGUGAGUGGGCAGAGGGAGAGAUCUCAGACUCCCCACUUAGUGCAGAGCCUGCCAGACUUGGGCCUUGAUCCCACAACCCUGAAAGCAUGACCUGAGCCUAAAACCAAGAGUCAGGAUUCUUAACCAAGCCACCCAGAUACCCUGAAAUGCCACAUAUGAUUUUUGAUUGCGGACUACAUCACCAGAAUGGCAAGGGUGUGAUUUUAAGUGGGGAAACCUACUUGGAAAAACCCAAUGAGUAAAUUAUACUUGGUGGUAGGAGUGGAGAAGGUGGUUCUGGAUGUACUUUGACAGUGGCUAAGAUUUGUUGACUUUUUUUGUUUAGGCAACUGUUAAGCCUAUUUACUCUUAACUGGAAAGACUACUUAGGAAGGGAAACCACAAGUUCCUUUUGGGCCCUAUCAAGCAGUUGUCCACAAAAGGAAGACUGUAUGUGAAGAAUAAAGAACUUUUUCAAGGUUCUUUGUACCAUUUAUCAUUUUUACUGGUAGGUACCUGAAGUGCUGCUGUGUUCACUACACAUGGGGUAGAGCCUGAGACAGUAUCUCUCAGUACCUUUCCAAGCAGCUCUUUAACCUGAUGCCAACUUUGAUAAAAAGCUACUAGUUCUUAACUGGGGUGCUUUAGAAGUGCUAGAGGGGCUUAUCACAAUGAUUAGGAGACUCUCGAGGCAUUCAGUGGGCAAGGGCUGACCAGAGAUGCUAAGUAUCUUCCAACAUGCCACAAAAUCUUUCACAAGAAUUACUGCACAUCCCACAAGGUUCCCAAGUAUUCAUGUAGCGGAAAACUUGAGCCUAGAAUUUAUUUUUCAUAUGAAUCUCUAGAAGUGUUUACAUGGGUGUUAAGGAACACUUAAUUUCCCAGGAAUGUAAUUAUUGUGUAAACAAUCUCCUUCACAUUAGAACACUAUAUUGACUUAAUUAUACAUCAAUUUAGUUUCUAGAUCUCACAAAAUAAAAGGAGGCAUUACAUUGAUGGGGGUCUGAGCCCAUGUUCCUGACAGAUUCCUUUGGGCAUGGUAUAUGACAGUAAUCCACGAAAAGGGGCGGGGGAGGGGAGUCUGUUGGAAAACUUCUGGGAAACAAUUCUUCACACUUAAUAUAGGAAAAAUAUUCACCCUUCUGCUUCUGAGGGUUUCAGCAUUUAAUUAGAACUACAUCAGAGGAUACAGGACAAGGCAACUCACUCAGGAUUGAACAGGAGAAAUGUAGAAUCAAUUCCUGAUGGACUGUCCUUGGUAAUAAUGCUGCUUCAUCAUACCAGCCCUUCCAAAUCCUGAAUUUGUAUUUGAGCCAGUGUUAGAAAAUCAUGUAUUCCACCUGAACGACUUUAGGUCAGGGAAUGGAAGUAUGAUUCAUAUCCUAUUCCUGAAGCUAAAUCUCAGAGCCUCACUCCUCAAAACUAGAGAUCAAGAUACUCUUCGUAUUUAUUUAAAAAAGAAAAAAACCCAGAAUGGCUCAAAAAAAAAAAAAAAAAAAAACCAAGGACACAAGUGCCCUGACACA